GGGUUCAGAGAAUAUUCUCUGGAGGAAUAUUUAGCUGGUCGGGCCGCCAUCUG
Molecule: non-coding RNA, 53 nt
Filed under: unclassified sequences
Description: Li+-I sequence
Rfam family: nhaA-I RNA
About the family: Acidobacteria, Alphaproteobacteria, Betaproteobacteria and Gammaproteobacteria, Verrucomicrobia, cand. division NC10. Downstream gene
Source: Rfam by way of RNAcentral